This is a non-coding RNA of Trichinella spiralis, 879 nucleotides long. The record is from Rfam. NCBI's taxonomy places the organism in Eukaryota, Metazoa, Nematoda, Enoplea, Trichinellida, Trichinellidae.
UACCUGGUUGAUCCUGCCAGUAGUCAUAUGCUUGUCUCAAAGAUUAAGCCAUGCAUGUGUAAGCACACACUGUUUUAAAAGUGAAGCCGCGAAUGGCUCAUUACAACAGCCACAGUUUAUUAGAACUUACAAUCAUGGAUAACUGUGGUAAUUCUAGAGCUAAUACACGCACAAAAACUUCAACUGAAUUGGUUGAAGUGCUUUUAUUAGAACAAAAACCGAACGGCGUUUGACGAAUGUUGAACGUCGAAACUGUUUGGUGAAUCUGAAUAACUAUUUCUGAUCGCAUGGUCUAGCACCGGCGACAUCACUUUCAAGUGUCUGCCUUAUCAACCUUCGAUGGUAGUCUAUGCGACUACCAUGGUGAUAACGGGUAACGGAGAAUCAGGGUUCGACUCCGGAGAGGGAGCCUGAGAAACGGCUACCACAUCCAAGGAAGGCAGCAGGCGCGCAAAUUACCCACUCCCAGCUUGGGGAGGUAGUGACGAAAAAUAACGAGACGAUUCUCGUUUGAGAAACGUUAUCGAAAUGAGUACGCUUUACACACGCUAACGAGUAGCAAUUGGAGGGCAAGUCUGGUGCCAGCAGCCGCGGUAAUUCCAGCUCCAAUAGCGUAUAUUAAAGUUGCUGCGGUUAAAACGCUCGUAGUUGAAUUGUGGUCUUAGACAACAGUCCCCCUACAAAGGUGUGGCACGGUUGCUCGAGAUCUUCAUUCGUGGUUGCUGUUGUUGCUCUUCAUUGAGUGUCAAUGGUGCCUCGAGAUUUUACUUUGAAAAAAUUAGAGUGCUCAAAGCAGGUUGUGAUGCCCUGAAUAAUGAUGCAUGGAAUAAAAAAUACGAUCUCGGUUCUUAUUUUUUGUUGGGUUUUUCGAAACCGGGA